RNAcentral lists this long non-coding RNA (444 nucleotides) under Brassica rapa (field mustard). RNAcentral's name for it is "long non-coding RNA (BRAP_LNC000199)". The record is from RNAcentral. Lineage: Eukaryota; Viridiplantae; Streptophyta; Magnoliopsida; Brassicales; Brassicaceae.
UUCCAUUUACUAUUUUUCUUUAUAUUAAAAAUAAUAUUCGCAAUUAUUGUAGUGUUGGUAAUUAAAUCAUUGCUAUAAAUAAUUGGGAAAGAGAGGAAGAGGGAAAAUACUUUAAAAGGGAAAAGUAACGCAUUAUAGUGAUGCAGACAAAUGGCUUUCCUUUCGAUUAUUUUGUUAUAACAAAUCAUCGUUUGUAAGAGUAAUUACAGGGGAAUACCACUGAGGGGUUACUCUAAUUAUGGUGGACGUCAAGAAACUCGUGAGUUUGCUUUGAGUCUUUUAAGAUAAAUGCGCCGCUCUCUGAGUCUUCUGUCAGUUUGCGAGAUUCUCGUGACUUACACAAAUUACAUAAAAAGUUUAGUUUUCUCGAAGUAUUUAUCACCGCUCAUAUGUAAAGAUAGUUAUUGUUAUGUUCUUCUAUGGAAUGGAUUAAUUCAAGAAUGG